GGGGCGCUGAGAGGGUGACAGCCCCGUCGGCCCGGGACCCUGCCGCAUCACGAGGCGUUGUCGGCGAGUCGGGUUGUUUGGGAAUGCAGCCCCAAUCGGGCGGUAAAUUCCGUCCAAGGCUAAAUACGGGCGAGAGACCGAUAGCGAACAAGUACCGCGAGGGAAAGAUGAAAAGGACUUUGAAAAGAGAGUCAAAGAGUGCUUGAAAUUGUCAGGAGGGAAACGAAUGGGGG
Molecule: ribosomal RNA, 233 nt
Filed under: Heterosigma akashiwo
Lineage: Eukaryota; Raphidophyceae; Chattonellales; Chattonellaceae
Description: partial Eukaryotic large subunit ribosomal RNA
Rfam family: Eukaryotic large subunit ribosomal RNA
Source: RNAcentral